GACGAACGCUGGCGGCGUGCUUAACACAUGCCAGUCGAACGGAAAGGCCCUGCUUUUGUGGGGUGCUCGAGUGGCGAACGGGUGAGUAACACGUGAGUAACCUGCCCUUGACUUUGGGAUAACUUCAGGAAACUGGGGCUAAUACCGGAUAGGAGCUCCUGCUGCAUGGUGGGGGUUGGAAAGUUUCGGCGGUUGGGGAUGGACUCGCGGCUUAUCAGCUUGUUGGUGGGGUAGUGGCUUACCAAGGCUUUGACGGGUAGCCGGCCUGAGAGGGUGACCGGCCACAUUGGGACUGAGAUACGGCCCAGACUCCUACGGGAGGCAGCAGUGGGGAAUAUUGCACAAUGGGCGGAAGCCUGAUGCAGCAACGCCGCGUGCGGGAUGACGGCCUUCGGGUUGUAAACCGCUUUCGCCUGUGACGAAGCGUGAGUGACGGUAAUGGGUAAAGGAGCACCGGCUAACUACGU
Molecule: ribosomal RNA, 467 nt
Filed under: uncultured bacterium
Lineage: Bacteria
Description: partial 16S ribosomal RNA
Rfam family: Bacterial small subunit ribosomal RNA
Source: RNAcentral